RNAcentral lists this ribosomal RNA (433 nucleotides) under uncultured bacterium. Its description in RNAcentral is "partial 16S ribosomal RNA". It matches the Rfam family "Bacterial small subunit ribosomal RNA", at positions 29 to 507 of the family's 1533-position model. The record is from RNAcentral.
AACGAACGCUGGCGGCAUGCCUAACACAUGCAAGUCGAACGAGACCUUCGGGUCUAGUGGCGCACGGGUGCGUAACGCGUGGGAACCUGCCCUUAGGUUCGGAAUAACUCCCCGAAAGGUGUGCUAAUACCGGAUAAUGUCUUCGGACCAAAGAUUUAUCGCCUUUGGAUGGGCCCGCGUUGGAUUAGCUAGUUGGUAGGGUAAAGGCCCACCAAGGCGACGAUCCGUAGCUGGUCUGAGAGGAUGAUCAGCCACACUGGGACUGAGACACGGCCCAGACUCCUACGGGAGGCAGCAGUGGGGAAUAUUGCGCAAUGGGCGAAAGCCUGACCCAGCCAUGCCGCGUGAGUGAUGAAGGCCUUAGGAUUGUAAAGCUCUUUUACCCGGGACGAUAAUGACAGUACCGGGAGAAUAAGCCCCGGCUAACUCCGUG